UACGUAGGGUGCAAGCGUUGCCCGGAUUUAUUGGGCGUAAAGGGCGCGUAGGCGGCUCGGCACGUCCGUUGUGAAAUCGCCCGGCUCAACUGGGCGGGGUCAGCGGAUACGGUCGAGCUUGAGCAAGCUAGGGGGCAAUGGAAUUCCCGGUGUAGUGGUGGAAUGCGUAGAUAUCUGGAGGAACACCGGUGGCGAAGGCGGCAUCCUGGACCGAGAUUGACGCUGAUGCGCGAAAGCCAGGGGAGCAAACGGG
Molecule: ribosomal RNA, 253 nt
Filed under: uncultured bacterium
Lineage: Bacteria
Description: partial 16S ribosomal RNA
Rfam family: Bacterial small subunit ribosomal RNA
Source: RNAcentral